Molecule: ribosomal RNA, 253 nt
Filed under: uncultured bacterium
Lineage: Bacteria
Description: partial 16S ribosomal RNA
Rfam family: Bacterial small subunit ribosomal RNA
Source: RNAcentral
UACGUAGGGCGCAAGCGUUGUCCGGAAUUAUUGGGCGUAAAGAGCUCGUAGGCGGUCUGUCGCGUCGGCUGUGAAAACCCGGAGCUCAACUCCGGGCCUGCAGUCGAUACGGGCAAACUGGAGUACUGCAGGGGAGACUGGAAUUCCUGGUGUAGCGGUGAAAUGCGUAGAUAUCAGGAGGAACACCGGUGGCGAAGGCGGGUCUCUGGGCAGUAACUGACGCUGAGGAGCGAAAGCGUGGGGAGCGAACAGG